This is a long non-coding RNA of Homo sapiens (human), 373 nucleotides long. RefSeq lists it as uncharacterized. The transcript has 3 exons. NCBI's taxonomy places the organism in Eukaryota, Metazoa, Chordata, Mammalia, Primates, Hominidae. The record is from RefSeq and is a predicted model, not a curated record.
ACUUUACACAAUCCACAAGCAUAUUGGAACAAAAAUGGUGGGGAACGUAAGAGAGAGACUGGAAAAAAUGCUCAUCAGAGUAAAGAGCAGAAGAAAGAAAUGGAUGAAGUGGAUAUAAGACCUGUCCUGCUACACAAACAAUAUUAAGGUAAGCUGCUGUGCUGUGAGACGGACACAUGUCAAGGAAUUGAAGAGGCCUCUAAGAGUUAAAAGUGGAACCUGAUUGACAGCCAGUCAAAUUGAGACUGCAGUCCUACAACUUCAAGCAACUUAAUUCUGCCAACAAGCAUAUGUGCAUGUAAGAAGACCACGAGCUCCAGAAAAUAAUGCAGCCCAUCCAAGAAUGCAGUCUAUCCAAGACUGAGACCUUGAA